Molecule: ribosomal RNA, 420 nt
Filed under: Lactococcus garvieae
Lineage: Bacteria; Bacillati; Bacillota; Bacilli; Lactobacillales; Streptococcaceae
Description: bacterial SSU rRNA
Rfam family: Bacterial small subunit ribosomal RNA
Source: RNAcentral
AUGAUUAAAGAUAGCUUGCUAUUUUUAUGAAGAGCGGCGAACGGGUGAGUAACGCGUGGGAAAUCUGCCGAGUAGCGGGGGACAACGUUUGGAAACGAACGCUAAUACCGCAUAACAAUGAGAAUCGCAUGAUUCUUAUUUAAAAGAAGCAAUUGCUUCACUACUUGAUGAUCCCGCGUUGUAUUAGCUAGUUGGUAGUGUAAAGGACUACCAAGGCGAUGAUACAUAGCCGACCUGAGAGGGUGAUCGGCCACACUGGGACUGAGACACGGCCCAGACUCCUACGGGAGGCAGCAGUAGGGAAUCUUCGGCAAUGGGGGCAACCCUGACCGAGCAACGCCGCGUGAGUGAAGAAGGUUUUCGGAUCGUAAAACUCUGUUGUUAGAGAAGAACGUUAAGUAGAGUGGAAAAUUACUUAAG